GAUGAACGCUGGCGGCGUGCCUAAUACAUGCAAGUCGAGCGAACAGACGAGGAGCUUGCUCCUCUGACGUUAGCGGCGGACGGGUGAGUAACACGUGGAUAACCUACCUAUAAGACUGGGAUAACUUCGGGAAACCGGAGCUAAUACCGGAUAAUAUAUUGAACCGCAUGGUUCAAUAGUGAAAGACGGUUUUGCUGUCACUUAUAGAUGGAUCCGCGCCGCAUUAGCUAGUUGGUAAGGUAACGGCUUACCAAGGCAACGAUGCGUAGCCGACCUGAGAGGGUGAUCGGCCCCCCUGGACCUGAGCCACGGUCCAACCCCCUACGGGAGGCAGCAGUGGGGAAUCUUCCGAAAUGGGCGAAACCCUGACGGAGCAACGCCGCGUGAGUGAUGAAGGUCUUCGGAUCGUAAAACUCUGUUAUUAGGAAAGCAAAAAUGUUUAAGUAACUAUCCCCCUUUUACCGGUCCCUAAUCAAAAAGCCCCGGCUAACUAAGU
This 496-nucleotide ribosomal RNA is filed under the name uncultured bacterium. RNAcentral describes it as "partial 16S ribosomal RNA". It matches the Rfam family "Bacterial small subunit ribosomal RNA", at positions 28 to 506 of the family's 1533-position model. The record is from RNAcentral.